GGGUCGUUGGCUCAGUUGGUAGAGCAGUUGACUUUUAAUCAAUUGGUCGCAGGUUCGAAUCCUGCACGACCCACCA
RNAcentral lists this transfer RNA (76 nucleotides) under Escherichia coli. RNAcentral describes it as "tRNA-Lys". It matches the Rfam family "tRNA". Rfam says of the family: Transfer RNA (tRNA) molecules are approximately 80 nucleotides in length. Their secondary structure includes four short double-helical elements and three loops (D, anti-codon, and T loops). Lineage: Bacteria; Pseudomonadati; Pseudomonadota; Gammaproteobacteria; Enterobacterales; Enterobacteriaceae. The record is from RNAcentral. RNAcentral also lists the same sequence under 8 other names.